CUCGCGGAACGUAAUCAACGAAGGCUCCUCGUUUGGCGUCGGAAGGCGAACGUGGAACCCUAACCCUAACCAGCAAGUGCAGGCCUGCGACGAUGGCUGCGUCUCUCCGCACGGCGGCGACCACGAGGUUCCCGCGUCCAUCGGUGCUUCGAGGGCAGGGGCUUCGCCGGCUCGUCCACGCCGAGGAUCUUUCCAAAUCCAUCCUCGCCUUAGACAAGGAACACCGUGGUUCGCUAGUCCAGCGGAUGGGGGAGCUGCUGCGCUUGCAGGCUUCCAAAUUCACCCACACCAUGAAGGAGGAACACCGUGCGGAGCUAAUCCAGCUGAAGAAGGAGCAGCUGUACGAAGUCAUGGCCCUUGUCGAAGUCGCGGGAUAGGAGUCUGCUCAAGUAUCUCUCUACCCAAAUCGAGCCUAGACCACAUGACCCUCAAUGGCGCAAGAUAACCAGGACCAAGAAGGUGACCAAGUGGACUGCGUUGGCGGGUAUUCUUGUUAUUAAUGCUCUCGGUUAUUGUGCCCUGCCUUCCGGUCCUAAAAUAGGAUAUCUUGUAACCGUUGAGAGUCUUCCCUUGAUACGACGAUAUCAGCACGCUGCUGAGAGAGCGGGUAAGCGAGAUGGAUAUCAGCAUGUUGCUACUUCUGUGGGACUGGACAAGCAAGAGGAGAUGUGAACAAGCAAAAGGGAUGAAAAUGACAUGCAUGCAUCUUGUUUGAUGGAGAAGCAAGACUGCAGUUCUUUUCCACCUAGAACUUGAUGAGACA
Molecule: long non-coding RNA, 763 nt
Organism: Triticum aestivum (bread wheat)
Lineage: Eukaryota; Viridiplantae; Streptophyta; Magnoliopsida; Poales; Poaceae
Exons: 4
Source: RefSeq, a predicted model, not a curated record